GGUCUAUCCAAGCGCAUGAGAGAAAACCCGUCCAAAGUUACUGAUUCAACAGGUGUAUCCUCUCCAAGCCAAGUUUCUGUGAAACAAAACAAGCUCCCAUCACGAAAGUCCCGUUGGUUUGCGGACAGCUCAUCUCCCUCGUUGGGCAGUGAGCGCACGUUCCCCAUGAUAAUAGACGGAAGGCCUCGGUCCCUUCGGGCCUCCCCCUUUACUGAGAGAACAUCAGGUCCUGCAGUUGGACUCUUCAGCCCUGCCAAAAUCAGGCCAUAGACAUCCUCACAGGACUCAAACUCCCAGGAGGCUGCAGGAGAGUAUCUCACUCCCUUCAGUAAUUCAGUGUACAUGGCCAUUGUGAUGAUGAUCAGGAGGAAGAGUCCUACUCCAACUCCUGUACCUAUUAUCAGGUCUCUACGGGGAGGAAUGAUGAUCUCAGCCUGGACAUCAAUCUGGAGGAAUACAUUUUGAGACAAUGAGUAACGAUGGAACAAGCAUUUUAACAACAAUUCUUAUACAGUAAAUCAGUUUAAUUCCACAAAUGGAAUUACCUGUGUUUGGUGGAAGCUUGAAGAGUUAUCCUAAUGAGCAAAUAAAUACAUACAAAAUUGAUGCUUUUGGGAAUCUUUGCUCAAUAAAUAUUUGUAUUUUUGUUGAAGUUUUUUUUACAGGAAACUUACCCCUGGGUCACUCGCUGUCUGGACAUAUCGUUUAUUGUCAUAGCUGAGUUUGACAAAACUGAUGAAAUUGACUGUUUCUCUAUCCCCAGUGAAUUUCUUUGGCAAAGACAAGCUCUGUAGAGUGAGAUAUUGUUAGUAUCAACCAACCUAACAACAACAUUUAUAUUGAGAUUUUAUACAAAGGCAUUUGUCACAGAACGUGUAACAAAACAUAUACUUAAACCCCCAAAUGAACAAGCUUAGGGUGACAGAGGCAGUGGAGGCUGCUGAGGGGAGGAUGGCUCGUAAUGGCUGGAAUGAAGCAAAUGGAAUGGCAUCAAACAUGUGUUUGACAUAUUUAAAACCAUUCCACUGAUUCCUCUUCAGCCAUUACCACGAGCCCGUCCUCCCCAAUUAAGGUGCCACCAACCUCCUGUGGACAGAGAAUAUAUUUAUAUGCACACAAAUAAUUCAAUAUUAAACUGAUUAUGGCAAUACUCAGUUUAGCAUUAGUCAUGUAAACACCUUUCUCUGAUUAUCUUAAUCGGCGUACUCAUGAGCGAAGUAAGCGUAAACCUAUUAAAACAUCUUAUUUGCAAUCUUUUCAAAUUAUUGGAACACGUAAACACCUUUAAAGGGAUACUGUGAGAGAGCUAUGCUACUGUACCUGUAGACUUCCAGUCAUUGCGCUAGCCAACGCUAGUUAGCAUUGGCUCACAAAACGACCACUAACUUCCUUUGUACUGCACGCAGAGAAAUAAAUUAUUUCCACAAGUUCAUCCGACUCUGGGUGAGUAGAACAAGAAUCUUGCAGUAUCCCUUUAAUGGUGUAUCUGUAUCCUGUGGUGUAUCUGAUCUGCGCAUUUGCUAUCAUGAGCACCGCGAGCAUCCCUCUGUGGCGCGAGUGAUGCGAGUCCAGAAAAUCCUAACGUAUGCAUCUUAGAAUUACUUUUCACAUGUCCUUGUCCUUUUCUAUGUGUUAGGCCUGGUAUGGUUCCCAAUCAGAGGCAGCUGUCAAUCGUUGUCUCUGAUUGAGAACCAUACUUAGGUAGCCUGUUCCCACCUGUGUUUGUGGGUAGUUGUUUUCUGUUGUGUGUCUACACCAGCCAGAACUGUUUCGGUUGUUCUCUUUGUUGUUUUUUGUCAUUCAGUGUUCAGAUUAUUUGAUUAAA
Salvelinus fontinalis (brook trout) is the source of this 1825-nucleotide long non-coding RNA. RefSeq lists it as uncharacterized. The record is from RefSeq and is a predicted model, not a curated record. Lineage: Eukaryota; Metazoa; Chordata; Actinopteri; Salmoniformes; Salmonidae. The transcript has 3 exons.